Molecule: ribosomal RNA, 440 nt
Filed under: uncultured bacterium
Lineage: Bacteria
Description: partial 16S ribosomal RNA
Rfam family: Bacterial small subunit ribosomal RNA
Source: RNAcentral
CCUACGGGAGGCUGCAGUGGGGGAUAUUGCACAAUGGGGGAAACCCUGAUGCAGCGACGCCGCGUGAGUGAAGAAGUAUUUCGGUAUGUAAAGCGCUAUCAGCAGGGAAGAAAAUGACAGUACCUGACUAAUAAGCGCCUGCUAACUACGUGCCAGCAGCCGCGGUAAUACGUCGGGGGCAAGCGUUAUCCGGAUUUACUGGGUGUAAAGGGAGCGUAGACGGUUAGGUAAGUCUGGAGGGAAAGCUCGGGGCCGAACCCCGGGACGGCUUUGGAAACUGUGUAACUGGAGUACAGGAGGGGCAGGCGGAAUUCCUGGUGUAGCGGUGAAAUGCGUAGAUAUCAGGAGGAACACCGACGGCGAAGGCGGCCUGCUGGACUGAAACUGACGUUGAGGCUCGAAAGCGUGGGGAGCAAACAGGAUUAGAUACCCCUGUAGUC